AUGGAGGUGGCCGUCAGCGCAGCAUGGUGGGUGGUAACCAAGGCGCUGGCCCCGGUGACGGACGGCUUGCUGGAGGCAUGGGCGGCCAGCGCCGGGCUCGGCCCCAACAUCGACGCCCUCAAGAUGCAGCUACUUUACGCCCAGGGGAUGCUCAACAACGCCCAAGGGCACGGCAGGGACAUCACUAACCCUGCGCUCAAGGGGCUACUCCACAAACUGCGGCAGCUGGCGUACGUCGCGGAUGAAGCGCUGGACGAGCUGGACUACUUCCGCAUCCAGGACGUGUUGGACGGUACCUACCACGCAGCAGCUGGCGUGGAUGACCGUGGCUGCCUCCAGGGCCUCGUCCUCAAUGCUCACCACACGGCUAGAGCUGCUGCCGGGAAGAUCAAGUCCAUGAGCUCCUGCUCCCAUUCUGCUAGCCCACCUGAUGACCAAGAAGAUAUUGGUGGCAGCCGUGGACGUGCUGUUCAAGCUGUUGCUAAACACUUACCAUGCUGCUACUCUUCUCCUCAUACCAGUGAGUUGGCCGAAUCGCCCAACAUGCCAGCUGCAAGCGGAUGGUGGCUCUUCUGUGGCGCCUGCCCGCCCAAGGUACCGGCGCAGAGAGUUAACACCAAAGAGGGAACACCAAAACUGAAGUUUGAUAGGGUGGAAAUGUCCAAGAGAAUGAUAGACAUUAUAGAUCAGCUCAAGCAUGUAUGUGCUAUGGUCUCCACCAUUCUUAAUCUAGAGCUUCUGAGCUUAAGCCGUAUCCCUACCCAAGUCAGCAUUGCUAUGGAUCGACCCAAAACCACCCCACAAAUUAUAGAACCUCAACUAUAUGGGAGGGAUACCCAGAAAAAGGAAAUUAUAGAUGCCAUCACCCAUGGUGAAUAUUCUUGCAAACAACUUACUGUCCUUCCAAUUGUUGGGCCAGGGGGUGUUGGGAAGACAACCUUUACACAACACAUAUUUGAAGAAGUGAAGAGCAGUUUCCAGGUUGCAAUUUGGAUAUGUGUGUCUCUCAACUUCGUUGCCGAUAGUUUGGCACGAGAGAUUUUGGAGCAGUUCCCUAAAGAUAACAACAGUGAAAGCGAAAAUGAUAGUAGCAAAGAAGAGCAAAUUGAACAAAGGUUUAGAUCAAAGAGGUUCUUACUUGUCUUGGAUGAUGUCUGGAAAUAUCAUGACGAUGAGUGGAAAAAACUAUUAGCUCCAUUUAAAAAAGUUGGGACAGAAGGCAAUAUGGUUAUAGUCACAACUCGAAUUCCAGGGGUAGCAAACAUGAUCAGGACAGUUGACCAUUCUAUAGAAAUGGAACAUCUAGGUCUUGAAGAUAUUAUGUCUUUCUUUGAAGCAUGUGUAUUUGGUGACCAACAGCAACCAUGGCAAGAUCAUCUUGAACUAUAUGAUGUUGGCUGCAAAAUAGUGAAAAAAUUGAAGGGUUUCCCUCUUGCUGCAAAAACUGUGGGUAGAUUGCUUAAAAAGCAACUGACGUUUGACCAUUGGAUGAGAGUUUGGGAAAGUAAAGAGUGGGAGUCACAAGCUAGCGAUAAUGACAUUAUGCCAGCUCUGAAGCUUAGCUAUGAUUAUCUCCCUUUCCAUCUGCAACAAUGUCUUUCCUUCUGUGCAUUGUUUCCCGAAGAUUAUGAAUUUCAUGCAAAAGAGUUGGUUCAUUUGUGGAUUGGCCUAGGUAUUUUACACUCAGAUGAUGAAAAGAGAAGAAUCGAAGAUGUUGGAUUGUGUUACUUAACUGACUUGGUUAAUCAAGGUUUUUUCAAAAAGAAUGAAUCGAGAUUGGGCGGUCCUUAUUACACCAUCCAUGAUCUACUGCGUGAGUUGGUUGCGAAGGUCUCAUCAUAUGAGUGUCUUAGCAUAUCAAGCUCCAAUGUGAUGUGCAUACAAAUUCCCCCAUUUGUUCGGCAUCUGUCUAUCAUUGUGGAUGAUGCAGACGUCAAGGACACAAUGACUUUUGAAAACUACAAGAGGGAUUUGUGUGCGCUGGAAAAAAGGCUUGAAGUUCAGAACCUACACACUUUAAUGUUGUUUGGACAAUACCAUGGAACCUUUUCUAGGGUUUUCUGUGGUUUGUUUCGGGAAGCUAGAGCCCUUCGUACUGUUUUUUUGUCUGAUGCAUCAUAUAACAUGGAGGAUGUGUUGCCUAACUUUUCAAAACUUGUCCAUCUUCGCUACUUCAAGCUAGCUGGUUUUGGUGAUGACAAGGGCUUGUGUGUAGCUGGUGUGCUGCGUAGAUUAUAUCAUUUGGAAGUCAUUGAUCUACAAGGAUGGAGGGGUCGCUUCGGUUCAACAAGGCAUAUUAGCACCCUUGUAAAGUUACGUCAUUUUGUCGUGCCCCGAGAAGAACUUCAUUCUGACAUAUUUGAGGUGGGAAAACUAAAAUUCAUCAAUGAAUUAAAGACAUUUAGAGUGGGACAAGAAAGCAACAUGUUUGAACUGAGUCAACUAGGGAAACUGGAAAAUAUUGGAGGAUUGCUUGGCAUUUACAAUCUUGAAAAGGUGCAAUCAGAAGAAGAAGCAACUGAAUCAAGACUGAUACACAAAAGCCACAUGCAAGAGCUAAUAUUAGAAUGGUAUGUUCAGCGAUCUAACAGGGAUCCUACAUUUGAAGAAAAUGUCCUUGAACGUCUUGUACCACAUAGCAAUCUUCAACACCUACACAUUAAAGGGCAUGGAGGAACUAAUUGUCCAAGAUGGCUAGGUGUAAACCUCUCCGUAAAGAAUCUGGAAUCUCUUUAUCUGAAUGAUUUGUCUUGGGGAAACCUUCCACCUUUAGGAGAGAUGUGGAUGGUCAAUGAUCUUGGUGCAGUGUACAAGGACUGUAUCUUAGGCCAAGGAUUUCAAAAUUUGAAAAGGCUAGAAUUGGUUAAAAUACCAAGAUUGAGAAAAUGGGUUGGGGACAACAAUACUUGUCAUUUGUUCUAUCACUUGGAAGAACUCACCGUUGCAGAUUGUUCUGAACUUACCGAGCUGUGCUUUCCAGAUCUUAGUUGUGGUCUGCGACAGCAAGAGAAGAGCAUAUCUUGGUUUCCUAGACUAAAGUCUCUCGGGAUACACAACUGCCCGAAGCUAAUGUCAUUGCCUCCAACCCCUUGGACUUGUGGUCCGUGCUCCGCUGUGAUAAAUAGGGUGGGCUCCGGUCUUGAGCGGCUAGUUUACAAAGAAGACUCAACUUCAUCACUUGAAGUGCAGGGAACAUAUGGCCAGGAUAGUGUGUUCUUGAAUGGGUUGGUCUUCUCAAAUCUAACUUAUCUGAAAACAUUGGUGAUGCAGAGUUGCUCUCCUCUGCUGCUCGAUCGCCUCCUAAUGCUAAAAUCUCUGGAAUCCCUCCAGAUAAGUAACUCAAGUAAUGUAUUAUCCAUGGUUGAAAGCGUGGGCCAUGUACGAUGCCAGCUACCUGUCAAAAGGUUAAGUGUGAAGCAAUGUGGUGGCAGCGGCAAGGAAUUGACACUACUGUUCUCUCUUAUGCCAGAGCUCACCCAAAUAACAAUAGGGCGUUGUCAGGGGAUAAAAUGGCUCGGUGUGGGACAGUCGUCAGUAUAUUCUUCUGCUGAACCAUUGCAUCAGGAGCAAAUCAGACAGCAGCAGCUAAAGGAGACAGAAGGAGUGCUGCUCUUGCCUCCCCGGUUACACAAGUUUGAGAUCGGAGAGUGUCCAGAGCUGAGCUUGCUCUCUGAUUCACUGGGUGGUGACAAGGAAGGAGGUGGGCUCCAAGGUCUCCGCGCCCUCCAGUCGUUGACCAUAUUGGCUUGCCCCAAGUUACUCCACUCCUAUUCAUCCUCUUCUUUUCCUUUUCCGACCUCCCUGCAAGAAUUAUUUUUGAACGGGUGUUUCAGAGGGGAGAGCAUAGUCCCUCUCCUCGCCCAAGGCCACCUCACAAACAUCUGCAUCUACGAAAACCCCGUAUUCGCCCCUAACAAGGGGCUUCUUCUCCCCUGUUCCUCUGCACACCAAGAGCUUGAGCUAAGCACAGACGAUGUUGCAGGACUCCUUACUGCGCAUAUCUGUAGCCUCCUCUCUCCCUCCCUCACCACCCUACGACUUGGUUCGAACCAAGAUGUCGAGUACUUCACACACGAGCAAGAGGAGGCCCUUCAGCUCCUCACCUCCAUCCACACGCUCGUAUUUUCCUGUUUCAAGAAGCUGCAGUUCCUCCCAGCAGGUCUACAUAGACUUGCCAACCUCAAGACAUUACGGCUCGUUGUCUGUCAAGCCAUCCGGUCGUUGCCGGAGGACGGCCUCCCGACUUCUCUGCAAGAAUUAUGCAUCUUGAAUUGCGAUGCCUUCGAGUCGCUGCCUAUGGACAGACUCCCGAGUUCUCUGCAACAAUUGUACAUCCAUGGCUGCCAUGCCUUUAAGUCGUUGCUCAAGGACGACGGACUCCCUAGUUCGCUACAAGCCAUGGACGGACUACCAAGUUCUCUACAAAAAUUGAACAUCACGGAAUGUCCUGCCAUCGAGUCACUACCUAAGGGCAGCCUCCCAAGUUCUCUGAAAGAAUUAAACAUCCACCACUGCCCUGCCCUGACGUCUCUGCCCAAGGAUGGCCUCCCAAGCUCUCUGCAAAAAUUGAUAUUACUGGACUGCCCUGCCUUAAAGUCGCUGCCGGAGGAUGGCCUCCCAAGAUCUCUGCAGGAACUAAAGAUCGUUGGGUGUGCUGCAAUCAAUUCGCUGCCCAAGGGCGGACUCCCAAGAUCACUGCAAGUAUUGGAUGUCCGUUAUUGUGACAACGAGGAGCUAAAGAGGCAGUGCCGCAAGUUAAGAGGAACCAUUCCCAAGAUCCUAAUUUAA
This 4788-nucleotide ribosomal RNA is filed under the name Triticum aestivum (bread wheat). Its description in RNAcentral is "partial small subunit ribosomal RNA". The record is from RNAcentral. Lineage: Eukaryota; Viridiplantae; Streptophyta; Magnoliopsida; Poales; Poaceae.